Molecule: ribosomal RNA, 401 nt
Filed under: uncultured bacterium
Lineage: Bacteria
Description: bacterial SSU rRNA
Rfam family: Bacterial small subunit ribosomal RNA
Source: RNAcentral
GACGAACGCUGGCGGCGUGCUUAACACAUGCAAGUCGAGCGGUAAGGCCCUUUCGGGGGUACGACGAGCGGCGAACGGGUGAGUAACACGUGGGUGACCUGCCCUCAGCUCUGGGAGUAAGCCUGGGAAACCGGGUCUAAUACCGGAUAUGACUCCAUGACGCAUGUUGUGGGGUGGAAAGCCUUGUGCGGCUGAGGAUGGGCCCGCGGCCUAUCAGCUUGUUGGUGGGGUGAUGGCCUACCAAGGCGACGACGGGUAGCCGGCCUGAGAGGGCGACCGGCCACACUGGGACUGAGACACGGCCCAGACUCCUACGGGAGGCAGCAGUGGGGAAUCUUGCGCAAUGGGCGAAAGCCUGACGCAGCGACGCCGCGUGAGGGAUGACGGCCUGUGUAACUCUU